RNAcentral lists this ribosomal RNA (594 nucleotides) under Shewanella frigidimarina. Its description in RNAcentral is "bacterial SSU rRNA". It matches the Rfam family "Bacterial small subunit ribosomal RNA", at positions 38 to 622 of the family's 1533-position model. Lineage: Bacteria; Pseudomonadati; Pseudomonadota; Gammaproteobacteria; Alteromonadales; Shewanellaceae. The record is from RNAcentral.
GGCGGCAGGCCUACACAUGCAAGUCGAGCGGCAGCACAAGGGAGUUUACUCCUGAGGUGGCGAGCGGCGGACGGGUGAGUAAUGCCUAGGGAUCUGCCCAGUCGAGGGGGAUAACAGUUGGAAACGACUGCUAAUACCGCAUACGCCCUACGGGGGAAAGGAGGGGACCUUCGGGCCUUCCGCGAUUGGAUGAACCUAGGUGGGAUUAGCUAGUUGGUGAGGUAAUGGCUCACCAAGGCGACGAUCCCUAGCUGUUCUGAGAGGAUGAUCAGCCACACUGGGACUGAGACACGGCCCAGACUCCUACGGGAGGCAGCAGUGGGGAAUAUUGCACAAUGGGGGAAACCCUGAUGCAGCCAUGCCGCGUGUGUGAAGAAGGCCUUCGGGUUGUAAAGCACUUUCAGUAGGGAGGAAAGGUAAUGGUUUAAUACACCAUUGCUGUGACGUUACCUACAGAAGAAGGACCGGCUAACUCCGUGCCAGCAGCCGCGGUAAUACGGAGGGUCCGAGCGUUAAUCGGAAUUACUGGGCGUAAAGCGUGCGCAGGCGGUUUGUUAAGCGAGAUGUGAAAGCCCCGGGCUCAACCUGGGAAUU